AGCAGUAGCCGCGGUAACACGAAGGGUGCAAGCGUUAAUCGGAAUUACUGGGCGUAAAGCGUGCGUAGGCGGUGAGUUAAGUCGGAUGUGAAAUCCCUGAGCUUAACUUAGGAAUUGCAUUCGAUACUGGGAAGCUAGAGUAUGGGAGAGGAUGGUAGAAUUCCAGGUGUAGCGGUGAAAUGCGUAGAGAUCUGGAGGAAUACCGAUGGCGAAGGCAGCCAUCUGGCCUAAUACUGACGCUGAGGUACGAAAGCAUGGGGAGCAAACAGGAUUAGAUACCCCGGUAGUCCCUGUCUCUUAUAC
This 303-nucleotide ribosomal RNA is filed under the name uncultured bacterium. RNAcentral's name for it is "partial 16S ribosomal RNA". It matches the Rfam family "Bacterial small subunit ribosomal RNA", at positions 507 to 807 of the family's 1533-position model. The record is from RNAcentral.